GACGAACGCUGGCGGCGUGCUUAACACAUGCAAGUCGAACGGUAAGGCCCUUCGGGGUACACGAGUGGCGAACGGGUGAGUAACACGUGGGUGAUCUGCCCUGCACUUCGGGAUAAGCCUGGGAAACUGGGUCUAAUACCGGAUAGGACCACUGCCUGCAUGGGUGGUGGUGGAAAGCUUUUGCGGUGUGGGAUGGGCCCGCGGCCUAUCAGCUUGUUGGUGGGGUGAUGGCCUACCAAGGCGACGACGGGUAGCCGGCCUGAGAGGGGGACCGGCCACACUGGGACGGGGAUACGGCCCAGACUCCUCCGGGAGGCAGCAGUGGGGAAUAUUGCACAAUGGGCGCAAGCCUGAUGCAGCGACGCCGCGUGAGGGAUGACGGCGUUCGGGUUGUAAACCUCUUUCAGCACCGACGAAGCGCAAGUGACGGUAGGUGCAGAAGAAGGACCGGCCAACUACGUGCCAGCCGCCGCCGUAA
This 478-nucleotide ribosomal RNA is filed under the name uncultured bacterium. Its description in RNAcentral is "partial 16S ribosomal RNA". It matches the Rfam family "Bacterial small subunit ribosomal RNA", at positions 28 to 523 of the family's 1533-position model. The record is from RNAcentral.